GUCCCGUAACGAGCGCAACCCUUGUCCUUAGUUACCAGCACGUUAUGGUGGGCACUCUAAGGAGACUGCCGGUGACAAACCGGAGGAAGGUGGGGAUGACGUCAAGUCAUCAUGGCCCUUACGGCCUGGGCUACACACGUGCUACAAUGGUCGGUACAAAGGGUUGCCAAGCCGCGAGGUGGAGCUAAUCCCAUAAAACCGAUCGUAGUCCGGAUCGCAGUCUGCAACUCGACUGCGUGAAGUCGGAAUCGCUAGUAAUCGUGAAUCAGAAUGUCACGGUGAAUACGUUCCCGGGCCUU
RNAcentral lists this ribosomal RNA (299 nucleotides) under uncultured Pseudomonas sp. Its description in RNAcentral is "partial 16S ribosomal RNA". It matches the Rfam family "Bacterial small subunit ribosomal RNA", at positions 1084 to 1382 of the family's 1533-position model. The record is from RNAcentral. Lineage: Bacteria; Pseudomonadati; Pseudomonadota; Gammaproteobacteria; Pseudomonadales; Pseudomonadaceae.